CUCUCCUUCUCUCAAUAAAAUAAAAUCUUAAAAACAUCUUUACCAAUAGCCUACUGUUAAUUAGAAGCCUUACAGAUAACAUAAACAGUUGAUUAACACAUACUUUGUAUAUGUAUUAUAUGCUAGAUUAUUAAAAGA
Long non-coding RNA from Phyllostomus discolor (pale spear-nosed bat), 138 nucleotides. RefSeq lists it as uncharacterized. The record is from RefSeq and is a predicted model, not a curated record. The transcript is spliced from 3 exons. NCBI's taxonomy places the organism in Eukaryota, Metazoa, Chordata, Mammalia, Chiroptera, Phyllostomidae.